CCUACGGGGGGCAGCAGUAGGGAAUUUUCGUCAAUGGGCGCAAGCCUGAACGAGCAAUGCCGCGUGAACGAGGAAGGUCUUCGGAUCGUAAAGUUCUGUUGAAGGGGAAAAAGAGCGGAGAGAGGAAAUGGUCUCCGAUUGAUAUUACCCUUCGAGGAAGUCACGGCUAACUACGUGCCAGCAGCCGCGGUAAUACGUAGGUGGCGAGCGUUAUCCGGAUUUACUGGGUGUAAAGGGCGUGUAGGCGGGAGAGCAAGUCAGAUGUGAAAACUACAGGCUUAACCUGUAGCCUGCAUUUGAAACUG
This 305-nucleotide ribosomal RNA is filed under the name uncultured bacterium. RNAcentral describes it as "bacterial SSU rRNA". It matches the Rfam family "Bacterial small subunit ribosomal RNA", at positions 338 to 635 of the family's 1533-position model. The record is from RNAcentral.